GAUGAACGCUGGCGGCGUGCCUAAUACAUGCAAGUCGAGCGAACAGACGAGGAGCUUGCUCCUCUGACGUUAGCGGCGGACGGGUGAGUAACACGUGGAUAACCUACCUAUAAGACUGGGAUAACUUCGGGAAACCGGAGCUAAUACCGGAUAAUAUAUUGAACCGCAUGGUUCAAUAGUGAAAGACGGUUUUGCUGUCACUUAUAGAUGGAUCCGCGCCGCAUUAGCUAGUUGGUAAGGUAACGGCUUACCAAGGCAACGAUGCGUAGCCGACCUGAGAGGGUGAUCGGCCACACUGGAACUGAGACACGGGCCAGACUCCUACGGGAGGCAGCAGUAGGGAAUCUUCCGCAAUGGGCGAAAGCUUGACGGAGCAACGCCGCGUGAGUGAUGAAGGUCUGCGGAUCGUAAAACUCUGUUAUUAGGGAAGAACAAAUGUGUAAGUAACUAUGCACGUCUUGACGGUACCUAAUCAGAAAGCCACGGCUAACUACGU
This 496-nucleotide ribosomal RNA is filed under the name uncultured bacterium. RNAcentral's name for it is "partial 16S ribosomal RNA". It matches the Rfam family "Bacterial small subunit ribosomal RNA", at positions 28 to 506 of the family's 1533-position model. The record is from RNAcentral.